UUAUUUUAUUUUUUUGGAUAAAAGUUUUAUCUAUUAUAUAUUAAACGUUCUUGCUGCUGCGCUGCAAAGCCAUAGCAGAUUCGAGGCGCUUUUGAGGGCCGAAUUACUCUCCAAGUUGAGAGAUGUCCUCGGGUUGAAUUGAAAGCCCUACCCAAAACUGCAGUGGGAAGAGGGAGAGCCUUUGCCUCCACUGCCCCACCCUCACCCUCCUCGUAGACCCUCUGCCUUUUGAAAGCAGAUCGUUUUCACUGAGAUGUUGGACAUUGCAGAUGUCUGUUCCCCAGGCCAGCAGGGACCUCUGAAACCUUCAUGGCCUGGCCUUUUUUUUUUUCCAUCCUGUGGUUUUUCUAAUGGAUAUCCAGGAUUUUUGUAAUCGCAUAGCUAUCCAAGCUCUACUUCCUAAAUUUUAAGAACUUUAAUCGAAAGUUAAAUUGAAGGUGCUGUUUGUAGACACUUAAUACCCAUGAAAGCCCAGCCAUCAUGACAAAUCCUUGAGUGUUGUCUUAAGAAAAUGAUGCUGGUCAUCACAGCUUCAGCAUCUCCUGUUUUUUGAUGCUCAGCUCCCCCUGCUGAUCUCAGAGUUUCCUGGCUUCUCCUUGCCCCCUCUCACCCCUUUGCUGUCCUGUGUAGUGAUUUGGUGAGAGAAAUUGCUGCCUACUCCCCCAGCCUACCCCCACCCCCUGCACUACACAUGAGUUUCAAGUUUUAUUAUUGCAAUAAAAGUGCUUUAUGCUG
RNAcentral lists this long non-coding RNA (735 nucleotides) under Androctonus crassicauda. Lineage: Eukaryota; Metazoa; Arthropoda; Arachnida; Scorpiones; Buthidae. The record is from RNAcentral.